This is a non-coding RNA of Cavia porcellus (domestic guinea pig), 514 nucleotides long. The record is from the annotation of a RefSeq genome assembly. NCBI's taxonomy places the organism in Eukaryota, Metazoa, Chordata, Mammalia, Rodentia, Caviidae.
GAACUAAAGUGGGUGUGAGUCAGGCAGAGCUCCAGCCACCUGGAGACCUCAGACCACGGGGCUGGCACUGAGCCCUGGCUGCAGGAGGAAUGGACAGGAUUCUGGGAGCGUCAAUUCUGAUUCUCAGCCUUCAGAGGGGAUGGGUGAGCGGCCAAGAGAAGGAUAAAGGUGACCAGCAACAGGUGAAACAAAAUCCUCCGUAUUUGACAGUCCAGGAAGGAGAUACUUCAAUUCUAAACUGCACAUAUGAGAACAGUGCAUUUGACUACUUCCCAUGGUACCGGCAGCUCCCUGGUAAAAGCCUUGAACUUCUGAUAGCCAUACGAUCUGUUCUAAAUGAAAAGGAAGACGGAAGAUUCAAAGUAUUUCUCAAGAAGAGUGACCAAGAGCUCUCUUUGCAUAUCAGGACUUCUCAGCUUGGAGACUCAGCCACCUACUUCUGCGCAGCACAAACACAGUGCUCUCCAGACACCUGCAGCCUGUGCACAAACCUGCCCUCGCUGCUCUAGCAGGA